GUGCAUAUCAGAGUUGGACAAAAUCGCAAGUUCAUUAAUAACUUAAAGAAAUAAUCUGUUUUAGUGCGGUUAAAAGUGAAAAUUUGUGCAAAUAAUUGGUGUGAAUGUAUGGAUAUAUUAGAAUAUUCAAUGUGCAAAAAUUUUGAAUUGAAAGAGAGGUUUGUUAAAAUUUGAAAAGCAACUUGUUUUAAAUUCCGUAUAAAAUAGUGAAAAUAAAGUGUUAAGUGGUGUAAAAGUGAUUGGAAAAAUAUUAAAUUGUGGAAUAAUAUUGAAAGUUGCAUCACCAUUUUGUUUAUGUGCGUGUUAAGAAAUGAGUUGUGAUGUGGAAAUAAUAAUAACGCAAGGAAAUCAUGCUUGAAAGGAUUACCGGGAGAAUUUUUUUGGCUAUAAGGAACAACAAAUGUAGAGAAAGUGCUAUUUUAUUGAUGUGAAGUGAAAAGUGUGAUAAAGUGAAAGUGAAGUAAGUACACAAAGUGAAAUUAAAUUGUGUGAAAAAAGUGUUUUGAUAUAUAAUUGGAGCGGAUACUUUUACAAAAUGGGGUGCCACAUGCGAGCGUGUUUGCUGAUAACCCCGCGCACAGCGAUUGCACGUCAGUCCCGUUACGCCCUCUUUGCAGGGGCACUGACCGCUCAAAUGAUUGCAAGUUUUGCCGGUAGAGCCAACAGGAUGGCAGUCGCAGCCUGAAAUUAAAGAAAAAGUAGUGAAAAGCAUGAAUAUAAAGUUCGUUAAACAUCUUCAAUAUGAAAAAAUUUCCUCAGGGUCAGCAGGAAAAUACUGAAGCAAGAGAUGACUUUUAAGGACGGAAGGAAUUUAAGGAAACUUGCAAAAAGUAACUUUAGACUGGAUGGUCGUUGGGAUGGAAUACUGAAAAUACAACUGGAAAAGAUUGUGAGGCGUACGAAACUACUGAACGGGUGCAAGAAGGAAUAUAUUAUAUUAUAUAAAGAACUAAUAUUUGCUCCAAACUUAAAAACACUUUAGUAAUAAAAUAAUAACAAUAUUAAUAAUACUUCGUUAUAAGUUAUAGUUCUUCAUAAAUUUCUUUUUAUUAUUAUUCAAGGCAAAAAUUUUAUAAGUGCGAUUGUCAUUAAUUUAUACAUAUACAUAUGAAAAAAUACAGAACUUCAUUAAAUUGUUUAGGAAAUUAUAAAUAGAUAUGUAAAAAGUAAUAAUAAUAAACGUUAAAACAAAUUAAAUAUUUUAUAAAAAGUUAAGAAACUAACUUGACCGUAUGUUAAAAAUAAUUUUAUGUAGUAUAUAGUAAAUAACUUAACCUCAGUAAAUUUUUUAUAAGA
Bactrocera dorsalis (oriental fruit fly) is the source of this 1296-nucleotide long non-coding RNA. RefSeq lists it as uncharacterized. The record is from RefSeq and is a predicted model, not a curated record. Lineage: Eukaryota; Metazoa; Arthropoda; Insecta; Diptera; Tephritidae. The transcript is spliced from 4 exons.